AUGGCUGUAAAAACCUGUUCUGAGACGCAUAAUGUCUUGGCCAUAGAGCCAAUGUCUCUUUUUAAUAAAUAUUUAUAUUUGAAUCCAAGGAUUCUUAAAGAGAGGUCUGAAUUUCUUCUCUUCUUUUUUUUUUUUUUUUUUUUUUUUCAUUGCAUUGGUUGCCUUAAUGAAAAUGCUCAUUAUAAUAAAUAUUGUAAUUAUAAUAAAUUCACAGCGAAUGUGGAUUUAAAAUGUGUGAUUUCAAACCAAUUUUCCUAUAUCAUGGUUCUUUUAAAGCAGAAUAUUAUUAUUGCUAUGAACAUGGUCAUUUCUGUAGUGCUGAAACAAUGUCAUAUUUUUAGGUAAAACACUGGAAUCUAAUUUUGCCUGAUUAGAGGCUCUAGAGAUUUACUUCUUUUGUUUAUUUACUUACACUGAGACAACAGUUUUCCUUGUUAAAGAACAUAACCUGGUUGUACAAAAGUGCUUUAGAUCUCAUGUCUAUCUUGGUAGAGUCUAAACUACACUUCAGACUUUGCAAAUCAAGGUGUUUUACCUCAAAUACUUGAGUUUUGUAUCUGGUCCUGAUACUUAUUAAUGUGGACCUGUAGAGACUUUGCCUUCAGGCAAGGAAGCAAGGCAGGAAAAGGGAAAGGUGAGGUGGAUAAGGGAAGUGGAAUCCAGGCUUUGUCUUCUUCUGAAGAGCCAUCACCUUCUUCUUUGUGUCCAUAAUCCUUGGAAACACAUCAAGUCUUGUAUUGACUUCUGCCAUAUCUAAAAACUCCUCUUGAUUGUAUUAGGUACAAGUGUUGCAUGUGUAUUUUACUCCUUUAUUAUGAUGUUGUCUAUGUUUGAAGAAUGUUUUUUAUUCUACAGUAGUUUGAAACAGCUAACUCUUGAACUUCACUUGCAGAUGAUCAGAUAGAGGUUGAAAGUUUUCAUCUGUUUUGAUUGUUUGAGUUUUUCUAAGUAACAAGUCCUUUAAAAAAAUCUAGAAUCGUACACAUUCUACCCUGAAGCUGUAAUGCUGAUUAAUAGUUUCCUGCAAAAUUAGUCCUGUGAAUUUGGUCUUUAUGCUAUUUUGUAUAGUGAAAGACUAGUAAAAGGUCAUCACUGGUGGUAUUGGACUGGUUUCAGUGUUUGUUUUGAGAGACUGAGGUGAAAUGUGUUUUUCAUGAUGAUGUAGCUUAGUUGAAAGCAUCCUGAUUCUAGCUUAGGACAAUUUUUUUUUACCAUACUCAGGCCUACUGAGAUAGAAAAAAAGCAGGUCCUUUUUUUCCUGAAGUAAGAAGCAAGUGAGAAUGGUAUAUUGUUUAUAACAUGGUGUAGACAGGGGGAUUAUUUAGUUCUCCUUACAAAGCUGAGA
This is a long non-coding RNA of Zonotrichia albicollis (white-throated sparrow), 1345 nucleotides long. The record is from Ensembl. NCBI's taxonomy places the organism in Eukaryota, Metazoa, Chordata, Aves, Passeriformes, Passerellidae.